ACUCCUACGGGAGGCAGCAGUGGGGAAUAUUGCACAAUGGGGGAAACCCUGAUGCAGCCAUGCCGCGUGUGUGAAGAAGGCCUUCGGGUUGUAAAGCACUUUCAGUAGGGAGGAAGGUAGUGUAGUUAACACCUGCAUUAUUUGACGUUACCUACAGAAGAAGCACCGGCUAACUCCGUGCCAGCAGCCGCGGUAAUACGGAGGGUGCGAGCGUUAAUCGGAAUUACUGGGCGUAAAGCGCAUGCAGGCGGCCUGUUAAGUCAGAUGUGAAAGCCCGGGGCUUAACCUCGGAAUUGCAUUUGAAACUGGCAGGCUAGAGUCUUGUAGAGGGGGGUAGAAUUUCAGGUGUAGCGGUGAAAUGCGUAGAGAUCUGAAGGAUACCGGUGGCGAAGGCGGCCCCCUGGACAGAUACUGACACUCAGAUGCGAAAGCGUGGGGAGC
Molecule: ribosomal RNA, 441 nt
Filed under: uncultured bacterium
Lineage: Bacteria
Description: bacterial SSU rRNA
Rfam family: Bacterial small subunit ribosomal RNA
Source: RNAcentral